This 1206-nucleotide long non-coding RNA is filed under the name Heterocephalus glaber (naked mole-rat). RNAcentral describes it as "lncRNA (ENSHGLG00100036937.1)". The record is from RNAcentral. Lineage: Eukaryota; Metazoa; Chordata; Mammalia; Rodentia; Bathyergidae.
GGCCCGGUCCGCCCGGCACGGCCUCGGGCCGAGCGCCGCUGGGGCAGCACUUGCCAGAAGGCAUAUUGAAAAAGUGAAUGGAAUGCUUAGGCGUCUGGACUCCACGAUGCAGGUGCAGGCCUGGCUGCUGUGACCAAGGCAGUCACUCCUAGCACAGGCUUGAUGCAGCACACCCCACUGGACACAGGCCCCCGUGUUACGGCCACCGGAACAGCCUGUGAUACACUGCACGUUUGUGAUCAGCUCCAUCCUUUCCUCAGAGUGUCCCAAGUUCCUGUGACUCAGGCCACGGCCCCCCCCCAGCAAAUCUUGUCUAUGUUCUAAGCAAUGUCCAAAGGAGUCAGUGGCUCGCCUUUCCCGGACAGGAGACAGAACAGACAGAACGCGGCUGGUGUGCUGCAACUUGGAAGGAGGAAGAGCCAAUUCCUGGCCUCUGGGGGGAGCCUCAUGAAGCAACUCACCAACAGCAUCUGACUUCGCCCUCAUGCCAGCCUGGCAGAUGGGCAGAUGUGGCCCACGGUCCCAUUUGUGGGUGAUACUUUCAAACGCUUCUUGCAUGAAUUGUUUUCUUCAUCAUGUCCAGAUCAAUGGGACCAUGUUCAAGUGUCCAGGUCAGGUAGGACUCUGGGGACUUCCACACAGCCAGGUACACAGGGCAGAGGGCAGCCCCAGGAAGUCCGGGCUGGAGGCUGUUUCAGCCACUUUUCAUGCGAGGGUCACAGAGUGAGUCUAUGUUCCAUCUUGUCCUGCUGUUCUUGUUACAGAAAUGGGCUUCCUAUCUCCAUCACCUUGAUUUGCCAGCCAGUGUCAGGGUUUGGGUCUGGAUGUUCCCCCAAAGCCUCAUUUGGUCAGAGGUGGCUGAACCUGAAAUGUGUGACGCUGGAGUGAAGGGCCUGUGAUUUCUAAACCACUACACAUGAGUGAUUGGUUUGACACCACCCUAGCCCUGGUAGUCUGAAUGGGAUAAAAGGGGCAGAAAGACUCUGUUAAGGUCCCUUGUUGCUUUUGUUACCUUCUGGUCACCAUGAACUGCUUCCCUUGUUGCUUUUGCUACUUUGUGUGCACCAUGUUGUCCCUGUCUUGGGGCCAACCAACUAUGAACUGAACCUUCUAUAAACUGUAAGCCAAAUAAACCCCUUCCCCUUUAACUUUUGGUGCUAGGUAUUUCGUCUCAGCAACGAGAGAAAAGUAACGAACACAACCAGA